UGCUCCUAGUACGAGAGGACCGGAGUGGACGCAUCACUGGUGUUCGGGUUGUCAUGCCAAUGGCACUGCCCGGUAGCUAAAUGCGGAAGAGAUAAGUGCUGAAAGCAUCUAAGCACGAAACUUGCCCCGAGAUGAGUUCUCCCUGACCCUUUAAGGGUCCUGAAGGAACGUUGAAGACGACGACGUUGAUAGGCCGGGUGUGUAAGCGCAGCGAUGCGUUGAGCUAACCGGUACUAAUGAACCGUGAGGCUUAACCUUACAACGCCGAAG
Molecule: ribosomal RNA, 270 nt
Filed under: Escherichia coli
Lineage: Bacteria; Pseudomonadati; Pseudomonadota; Gammaproteobacteria; Enterobacterales; Enterobacteriaceae
Description: partial 23S ribosomal RNA
Rfam family: Bacterial large subunit ribosomal RNA
Source: RNAcentral